AGAACGAACGCUGGCGGCGUGGAUAAGACAUGCAAGUCGAACGCGAUUUACAGCGAUAGCAAUAUCAUUGUAAGUUGAGUGGCGAAAGGGUGCGUAACACGUGGGAAUUUACCAAGAAGUGGGGAAUAGCUCGACGAAAGUCGAAUUAAUACCGCAUAUGAUCGCAAGAUCAAAGUCGGGGACCGCAAGGCCUGACGCUUUUUGAGAAGCCCGCGGCCCAUCAGCUAGUUGGCGGGGUAAAAGCCCACCAAGGCUAUGACGGGUAGCUGGUCUGAGAGGACGACCAGCCACACUGGAACUGAGACACGGUCCAGACACCUACGGGUGGCAGCAGUCGAGAAUUUUUCACAAUGG
RNAcentral lists this ribosomal RNA (354 nucleotides) under uncultured bacterium. Its description in RNAcentral is "SSU rRNA". It matches the Rfam family "Bacterial small subunit ribosomal RNA", at positions 26 to 374 of the family's 1533-position model. The record is from RNAcentral.